Molecule: long non-coding RNA, 282 nt
Organism: Nanorana parkeri
Lineage: Eukaryota; Metazoa; Chordata; Amphibia; Anura; Dicroglossidae
Exons: 3
Source: RefSeq, a predicted model, not a curated record
CAGGGAUCGGUUGCUAUGGUUACACAGCGUCUUCGCGCUGCUCUACUUCCUGCUCAGCGUCCUCUGUAUGCGCCAUCAUUCGGCCUCAUUGCAUUACCGGGAGGAUGAGAAGGUGGUGAGGACGCUGAUGGUGACUCGAAUCCCACGGGAAAUCUCCGACUCCUCCCUCCUCACCAAACAUUUCCACGAGGCGUACCCCAGCUGUACCGUCACCGAUGUGCAGUUCUGCUAUGACGUCCGGCGGUUGAUGAAUCUGGAUAUGGAAAGGUGAGGAAACGCUCC